RNAcentral lists this ribosomal RNA (1963 nucleotides) under human metagenome. RNAcentral's name for it is "bacterial LSU rRNA". It matches the Rfam family "Bacterial large subunit ribosomal RNA", at positions 488 to 2465 of the family's 2925-position model. The record is from RNAcentral.
UAGUGAACCAGUACCGUGAGGGAAAGGUGAAAAGCACCCCGGGAGGGGAGUGAAAUAGAACCUGAAACCGUGUGCCUACAACAAGUUCGAGCCCGUUAAUGGGUGAGAGCGUGCCUUUUGUAGAAUGAACCGGCGAGUUACGUUAUGAUGCGAGGUUAAGUUGAAGAGACGGAGCCGUAGGGAAACCGAGUCUGAAUAGGGCGCUUUAGUAUCAUGAUGUAGACCCGAAACCAUGUGACCUACCCAUGAGCAGGUUGAAGGUGCGGUAAAACGCACUGGAGGACCGAACCAGGGCACGUUGAAAAGUGCUUGGAUGACUUGUGGGUAGCGGAGAAAUUCCAAACGAACUUGGAGAUAGCUGGUUCUCUCCGAAAUAGCUUUAGGGCUAGCGUCGACAUGAAGAUUCUUGGAGGUAGAGCACUGUUUGGGUGAGGGGUCCAUCCCGGAUUACCAAUCUCAGAUAAACUCCGAAUGCCAAUGAAUUAUGGUCGGCAGUCAGACUGCGAGUGCUAAGAUCCGUAGUCGAAAGGGAAACAGCCCAGACCACCAGCUAAGGUCCCAAAAUAAUUGUUAAGUGGAAAAGGAUGUGGGGUUGCACAGACAACUAGGAUGUUAGCUUAGAAGCAGCUAUUCAUUCAAAGAGUGCGUAAUAGCUCACUAGUCGAGUGACCCUGCGCCGAAAAUGUACCGGGGCUAAAACAAUUUACCGAAGCUGUGGAUACCUUUAUAGGUAUGGUAGGAGAGCGUUCUAUGUGUGAAGAAGGUAUACCGUGAGGAGUGCUGGAACGCAUAGAAGUGAGAAUGCCGGUAUGAGUAGCGAAAGACAGGUGAGAAUCCUGUCCACCGUAAGACUAAGGUUUCCAGGGGAAGGCUCGUCCGCCCUGGGUUAGUCGGGACCUAAGGAGAGACCGAAAGGUGUAUCCGAUGGACAACAGGUUGAUAUUCCUGUACUAGAGUAUGUAGUGAUGGAGGGACGCAGUAGGCUAACUAAAGCAGACGAAUGGAAGAGUCUGUCUAAGCAGUGAGGUGUGAAUUGAGUCAAAUGCUUAAUUCUAUAACAUUGAGCUGUGAUGGGGAGCGAAGUUUAGUAGCGAAGUUAGUGACGUCACACUGCCAAGAAAAGCUUCUAGCGUUUAAACAUACUCUACCCGUACCGCAAACCGACACAGGUAGUCGAGGCGAGUAGCCUCAGGUGAGCGAGAGAACUCUCGUUAAGGAACUCGGCAAAAUGACCCCGUAACUUCGGGAGAAGGGGUGCUGACUUUACGUCAGCCGCAGUGAAUAGGCCCAAGCAACUGUUUAUCAAAAACACAGCUCUCUGCUAAAUCGUAAGAUGAUGUAUAGGGGGUGACGCCUGCCCGGUGCUGGAAGGUUAAGAGGAGUGCUUAGGAGUAAUCCGAAGGUAUGAAUUGAAGCCCCAGUAAACGGCGGCCGUAACUAUAACGGUCCUAAGGUAGCGAAAUUCCUUGUCGGGUAAGUUCCGACCCGCACGAAAGGCGUAAUGAUUUGGGCACUGUCUCAACGAGAGACUCGGUGAAAUUUUAGUACCUGUGAAGAUGCAGGUUACCCGCGACAGGACGGAAAGACCCCAUGGAGCUUUACUGCAGUUUGAUAUUGAGUGUCUGUACCACAUGUACAGGAUAGGUAGGAGUCUAUGAGAUCGGGACGCCAGUUUCGAAGGAGACGUUGUUGGGAUACUACCCUUGUGUUAUGGCCACUCUAACCCGGAUAGGUUAUCCCUAUCGGAGACAGUGUCUGACGGGCAGUUUGACUGGGGCGGUCGCCUCCUAAAAGGUAACGGAGGCGCCCAAAGGUUCCCUCAGAAUGGUUGGAAAUCAUUCGCAGAGUGUAAAGGUAUAAGGGAGCUUGACUGCGAGAGCUACAACUCGAGCAGGGACGAAAGUCGGGCUUAGUGAUCCGGUGGUUCCGCAUGGAAGGGCCAUCGCUCAACGGAUAAAAGCUA